This 200-nucleotide long non-coding RNA is filed under the name Lathyrus oleraceus (garden pea). RNAcentral describes it as "Pisum sativum (pea) long non-coding RNA (PSAT_LNC015328)". The record is from RNAcentral. Lineage: Eukaryota; Viridiplantae; Streptophyta; Magnoliopsida; Fabales; Fabaceae.
ACUCGUCAUGCAUGUGGUACCAUUCGGAGUAAAACUCCCAACUUAAAAUUUGCCAAUUUAACGAGGCAUCAAGGCUUAAGCCUUCAACUUUCAAAUUUUGCCAAUCCAGGCCAACGUGGUGUGAGCAAAGCUCCGACUUAAUGCAUAUGAAUUCCGACAACAUGAUAAUAAUAGCAACACAACAAUGUUUUCAACAUAAU